RNAcentral lists this non-coding RNA (32 nucleotides) under Mus musculus (house mouse). Lineage: Eukaryota; Metazoa; Chordata; Mammalia; Rodentia; Muridae. The record is from RNAcentral.
UGCACAAAAUGCCUCUUUCAUGGUUUGAGCGU